AGAGUUUGAUCAUGGCUCAGAUUGAACGCUGGCGGCAGGCCUAACACAUGCAAGUCGAGCGGUAACACAGAGAGCUUGCUCUCGGGUGACGAGCGGCGGACGGGUGAGUAAUGUCUGGGAAACUGCCUGAUGGAGGGGGAUAACUACUGGAAACGGUAGCUAAUACCGCAUAACGUCGCAAGACCAAAGUGGGGGACCUUCGGGCCUCAUGCCAUCAGAUGUGCCCAGAUGGGAUUAGCUAGUAGGUGGGGUAACGGCUCACCUAGGCGACGAUCCCUAGCUGGUCUGAGAGGAUGACCAGCCACACUGGAACUGAGACACGGUCCAGACUCCUACGGGAGGCAGCAGUGGGGAAUAUUGCACAAUGGGCGCAAGCCUGAUGCAGCCAUGCCGCGUGUGUGAAGAAGGCCUUCGGGUUGUAAAGCACUUUCAGCGGGGAGGAAGGCGGUGAGGUUAAUAACCUCACCGAUUGACGUUACCCGCAGAAGAAGCACCGGCUAACUCCGUGCCAGCAGCCGCGGUAAUACGGAGGGUGCAAGCGUUAAUCGGAAUUACUGGGCGUAAAGCGCACGCAGGCGGUCUGUCAAGUCGGAUGUGAAAUCCCCGGGCUCAACCUGGGAACUGCAUUCGAAACUGGCAGGCUAGAGUCUUGUAGAGGGGGGUAGAAUUCCAGGUGUAGCGGUGAAAUGCGUAGAGAUCUGGAGGAAUACCGGUGGCGAAGGCGGCCCCCUGGACAAAGACUGACGCUCAGGUGCGAAAGCGUGGGGAGCAAACAGGAUUAGAUACCCUGGUAGUCCACGCCGUAAACGAUGUCGAUUUGGAGGUUGUGCCCUUGAGGCGUGGCUUCCGGAGCUAACGCGUUAAAUCGACCGCCUGGGGAGUACGGCCGCAAGGUUAAAACUCAAAUGAAUUGACGGGGGCCCGCACAAGCGGUGGAGCAUGUGGUUUAAUUCGAUGCAACGCGAAGAACCUUACCUGGUCUUGACAUCCACAGAACUUUCCAGAGAUGGAUUGGUGCCUUCGGGAACUGUGAGACAGGUGCUGCAUGGCUGUCGUCAGCUCGUGUUGUGAAAUGUUGGGUUAAGUCCCGCAACGAGCGCAACCCUUAUCCUUUGUUGCCAGCGGUCCGGCCGGGAACUCAAAGGAGACUGCCAGUGAUAAACUGGAGGAAGGUGGGGAUGACGUCAAGUCAUCAUGGCCCUUACGACCAGGGCUACACACGUGCUACAAUGGCAUAUACAAAGAGAAGCGACCUCGCGAGAGCAAGCGGACCUCAUAAAGUAUGUCGUAGUCCGGAUUGGAGUCUGCAACUCGACUCCAUGAAGUCGGAAUCGCUAGUAAUCGUAGAUCAGAAUGCUACGGUGAAUACGUUCCCGGGCCUUGUACACACCGCCCGUCACACCAUGGGAGUGGGUUGCAAAAGAAGUAGGUAGCUUAACCUUCGGGAGGGCGCUUACCACUUUGUGAUUCAUGACUGGGGUGAAGUCGUAACAAGGUAACCGUAGGGGAACCUGCGGUUGGAUCACCU
This 1528-nucleotide ribosomal RNA is filed under the name Klebsiella pneumoniae. RNAcentral's name for it is "bacterial SSU rRNA". It matches the Rfam family "Bacterial small subunit ribosomal RNA". Lineage: Bacteria; Pseudomonadati; Pseudomonadota; Gammaproteobacteria; Enterobacterales; Enterobacteriaceae. The record is from RNAcentral.